UUUUCUUUCUUUUUUUUUUUUUUUUUUUUUUUUGCAGAUUUGCUAGCUCUCAUUGAGGUUCUUACCAUCUAUUGUCUAAAUAAUCUUGUGGGGAUCACACAAAUUACUCAAGUUUUUCAAGAUAGUGACAUUGGUUAAUCAAGAUAAUGACAAAACUGCACUUCAGGUAUAUGUUUUUAUCAAAAUGUGAUGCUAUAAUAUAAAGAGUACAAAAAUCUUGAUGCACCAGUUUGGUUUGUUUAAACUGUAACCUGAUACUUGAUCGUUUCUUAUUAGCCUUGUGAAAGACUUAUAAAUAUAAUUUAGGCGAUAUUGAAUCUCAACUUUAUGGCCCGGCUUUUGAUUUGAUCAUAAUAUUAAUUAUGCUUAAUCCGCUAAUUCGCAAUUACCGGAUUUGUGAAGACAAUUGCUUCUUUGAAGAAAGGUACAUAUAUUUUGAAGUACGAUCGAAGAGGAUAGCCUAA
RNAcentral lists this long non-coding RNA (464 nucleotides) under Helianthus annuus (common sunflower). RNAcentral describes it as "sRNA HanXRQr2_Chr08g0358051". The record is from RNAcentral. Lineage: Eukaryota; Viridiplantae; Streptophyta; Magnoliopsida; Asterales; Asteraceae.